Molecule: transfer RNA, 96 nt
Filed under: Bacteroides thetaiotaomicron
Lineage: Bacteria; Pseudomonadati; Bacteroidota; Bacteroidia; Bacteroidales; Bacteroidaceae
Description: tRNA-Met
Source: RNAcentral
AAAGGGAUAGCUCUGUCGGUAACUUUCAAAGGCGUCAGCCUUUGGAAGACGCAGAUUCAUAAUCAUGAGGUCCCGGUUCAAUCCCGGGUCCUGCUA